GUCAAGUAAGAAUACCCGCUGAACUUAAGCAUAUCAAUAAGCGGAGGAAAAGAAACUAACUAGGAUUCCCUUAGUAACGGCGAGUGAACUGGGAAAAGCUCAAAUUUUAAAUCACCUCGGUGAAUUGUAAUUUGAAGAAAGUGUUUUGACUUUUCAGUUUAAUCUAAAUCCUUUGGGAUGAGGUAUCAUAGAGGGUGAGAAUCCCGUUCUUGAUUAAACCUCGGAUUGCACUAAAUUCACUUUCCAAGAGUCGAGUUGUUUGGGAUUGCAGCUCCAAAUGGGUGGUAAAUUUCACCUAAGGCUAAAUAUAUGCAAGAGACCGAUAGCGAACAAGUACCGUGAGGGAAAGAUGAAAAGUACUUUGAAAAGAGGGUUAAACAGUACGUGAAAUUGUUGAAAGGGAAACGAUUGAAGUCAGUCAUGCUAGUGAGGAAUCAACUUGGUGGUUUACUUCCUUGUGCAUUUUCUCGCUUGGCAGGUUAGCAUCAAUUUUGGUUGUCAUCAAAGAAUUGGGGGAAUGUGACUUUUCUUCGGUAAAGUGUUAUAGACUCUGAUUGAUGUGGCGACUGGGAUUGAGGUUUGCAGCGGAUGCCUCUUGUGGCUAGUCACCUGUCUUCUGACCGUCACCUCGUUUUUGACAGCUUGCUGAUGAUUGCGGGAUUUGGCGAUCUAGGAGUUAGAGUGAAUAUAAAUUCACUAAGGAUGCUGACGUAAUGGCUUUAAACGACCCGUCUUGAAACACGGACCAAGGAGUCUAACAUAUGUGCGAGUGUU
RNAcentral lists this ribosomal RNA (774 nucleotides) under uncultured Acaulosporaceae. RNAcentral's name for it is "eukaryotic LSU rRNA". It matches the Rfam family "Eukaryotic large subunit ribosomal RNA", at positions 11 to 694 of the family's 3401-position model. Lineage: Eukaryota; Fungi; Glomeromycota; Glomeromycetes; Diversisporales; Acaulosporaceae. The record is from RNAcentral.